RNAcentral lists this long non-coding RNA (563 nucleotides) under Anas platyrhynchos platyrhynchos (common mallard). Its description in RNAcentral is "lncRNA (ENSAPLG00000020495.1)". The record is from RNAcentral. Lineage: Eukaryota; Metazoa; Chordata; Aves; Anseriformes; Anatidae.
ACACCUCAGCACUGUCUGCCCCGAUUUCCUUUGGCACUCCUUAGAGGAAUUAUCUCCGGCCUCUGCAAGCGCUGUGCUCAGCCAAGCGUGAGGAGCUUUGGCUCCCGGUGCACAUACUUGCAGCAGGGACAUCGGCAUCUGGCUGAACCUGAAAGCUCAUCAUCCUCGCUGGAGGAAGGAGCUCUCCCCCAGGACCUGGGUUUCAGGAUGGAGCAGCAGCUACACCCUGCGAGAACGUCACUUGGCUGCUGCCAGAGCAAAAGCGAAGGGGUUCAGCCAUCUCGCCACCGAGACACUGCAAUUACUGAGCUACUGUAAAACAAGAUCUGCCAAGGAUAUUACAGCUGCUUUUCCCUCGUAAAGUCAAGGGUGAAGAAGCUGCGGGAACAUGGCUUGUGGCCAGGAGCCUGAUAAAGAUGCAAGGAAAAGCGACCAUUCCCAGGGGAAUUAACCUCCGUGGCCACUUGCUGCAGCUCUGCUUGUCUGAAUCAUAGAUGCUGCUGCAGCAUUCGUGCUGCACGACUGCAGAAGCUGCUCUUCCUCAUGGCCUGGAUCACUGGGAG